GAAUUGCGAUAAGUAGUGUGAAUUGCAGAAUUCUGUGAAUCAUCGAAUCUUUGAACGCAUAUUGCGCCCUCUGGUACUCCGGAGAGCAUGCCUGUUUGAGGGUAAUUAAAUAAAAUCUUUGAUCUUUCUUGGGUCAAAGGACAUGGGCAUUCCGCGAUUUUUUCAGCGGUAGCCUGAAAUGGAUGGUUUAGUCUCAUCAAGUCGAGACGCGUAAUAAUCAAUUAUUUCGCUUAACGGUUGACGAGCUACCAAGUUUUGAUAGAUUCAACCUCGGUUGGAUGGUGGUCAAAACAAAUAACAUUUUGACAUUACCUCAAAUCAGGCAGGAAUACCCGCUGAACUUAA
This 345-nucleotide unclassified non-coding RNA is filed under the name uncultured Glomeromycotina. Its description in RNAcentral is "sequence contains ITS1". The stretch from base 1 to 105 matches the Rfam family "5.8S ribosomal RNA", at positions 50 to 154 of the family's 154-position model. Lineage: Eukaryota; Fungi; Glomeromycota. The record is from RNAcentral.